UCAGGCCUAACACAUUUAAGUCGAACGGCAGCACGGGGCAACCUGGUGGCGAGUGGCGAACGGGUGAGUAAAGCAUCGGAACGUACCCGGAAGUGGGGGAUAACGUAGCGAAAGUUACGCUAAUACCGCAUAUUCUGUGAGCAGGAAAGAGGGGGAUCGCAAGACCUCUUGCUUUCGGAGCGGCCGAUGUCGGAUUAGCUAGUUGGUGGGGUAAAGGCCUACCAAGGCGACGAUCCGUAGCUGGUCUUAGAGGAUGAUCAGCCACACUGGGACUGAGACACGGCCCAGACUCCUACGGGAGGCAGCAGUGGGGAAUUUUGGACAAUGGGGGCAACCCUGAUCCAGCCAUGCCGCGUGAGUGAAGAAGGCCUUCGGGUUGUAAAGCUCUUUCAGACGGAAAGAAAAUGCACGGAUUAAUACUCUGUGUAGAUGACGGUACCGUAAGAAGAAGCACCGGCUAACUACGUGCCAGCAGCCGCGGUAAUACGUAGGGUGCGAGCGUUAAUCGGAAUUACUGGGCGUAAAGGGUGCGCAGGCGGUUAUGAAAGACAGGCGUGAAAUCCCCCGGGCUUACCCUGGGAACUGCGUUUGUGACUACAUGACUAGAGUCAGGCAGAGGGGGGUGGAAUUCCACGUGUAGCAUUGAAAUGCGUAGAAGAAGUGGAAGGAACACGAUGGCGAAGGCAGCCCCCUGGGGCCAUGACUGACGCUCAGGCACGAAAGCGGGGGGAGCAAACAGGAUUAGAUACCCUGGUAGUCCACGCCCUAAACGAUGUCAACUAGGUGUUGGUAGGGUAAAACCUAUUAGUACCGUAGCUAACGCGUGAAGUUGACCGCCUGGGGAGUACGGCCGCAAGGUUAAAACUCAAAGGAAUUGACGGGGACCCGCACAAGCGGUGGAUGAUGUGGAUUAAUUCGACGCAACGCGAAAAACCUUACCUACCCUUGACAUGUCAGGAAUCUUGGAGAGAUUUGAGAGUGCCCGCAAGGGAACCUGAACACAGGUGCUGCAUGGCUGUCGUCAGCUCGUGUCGUGAGAUGUUGGGUUAAGUCCCGCAACGAGCGCAACCCUUGUCAUUAAUUGCCAUCAUUUAGUUGGGCACUUUAAUGAAACUGCCGGUGACAAACCGGAGGAAGGUGGGGAUGACGUCAAGUCCUCAUGGCCCUUAUGGGUAGGGCUUCACACGUCAUACAAUGGUCGGUACAGAGGGUUGCCAACCCGCGAGGGGGAGCUAAUCCCAGAAAACCGAUCGUAGUCCGGAUCGUAGUCUGCAACUCGACUACGUGGAGUCGGAAUCGCUAGUAAUCGCGGAUCAAAAUGUCGCGGUGAAUACGUUCCCGGGUCUUGUACACACCAAAGGUCA
RNAcentral lists this ribosomal RNA (1364 nucleotides) under uncultured bacterium. Its description in RNAcentral is "bacterial SSU rRNA". It matches the Rfam family "Bacterial small subunit ribosomal RNA", at positions 42 to 1399 of the family's 1533-position model. The record is from RNAcentral.